This is a long non-coding RNA of Rosa chinensis, 866 nucleotides long. RefSeq lists it as uncharacterized. The transcript has 5 exons. The record is from RefSeq and is a predicted model, not a curated record. Lineage: Eukaryota; Viridiplantae; Streptophyta; Magnoliopsida; Rosales; Rosaceae.
AGAAGUUCGGCAUUCACGGUCCAGGCGUCCAGCACACCGAAAUUUCAGUUGAAGCAGUUCGAAAAUUAUCUUUGUAGGACUCUCUAGUCUCUACCCAACAACACUGAAACCCACAAACCCAGUGGGCAUGGGUUCUCUUAUAAAUGAAUCAGAGAGAGAGAGAGAUGCAAGGAGGAGGAAGAGCCCAUUAUAGUAUAGCAAACCCAGAGAUUCUGUAUGUUUCGCAUCAGGUACUAGCAACUUUAGGAGAUGUACAACAAGGCUGAGGCUAGUUUUGGACUGCUGAGGAGGUUGAUCUCUCCCAGGAUGUACAGCUGUGGGAGGCUUUGAUCGACUCCAAGAAACACUUUAUAAGUAAUGUCCUGGCAUUUCUGAGGCAAGGUGAGGCCAAGGUUGCUCGACCUAGUUCUGUACCUCCCGCUGCUCUGAAGGUUAGUGGUGGAAUGAUGAAACUUGGCCCAGUCAAAACAAAGAUGCCUUCAGAACUGAGAGCUGCUUAGGAUGGGGUUGACAUAAUAAGCUUAUCAAUCACUCCCAAUAGAUGUCCUCCUGGAGUUGCAACAUUUUUCAACCCCAUAGAUAUGGCUUCACUAUCAGCCGUAAAGGUAGGUAUAUUUGUUGUCCAAGCAGCAGGAAAUACCGGACCAUCACCAAAAAGCAUAUCUUCCUUCAGUCCAUGGAUCUUCACUGUUGAUUCUGCUUCUCAUGACAGAACCUACAGCAACUCUAUAACCCUUGGCACAACGUCACCAUUCCUGGAAUUGGACUUACACCUGGUACACAGAAAGAUACAAUGUACACACUGAUUUCUGCAAUACAUGCUUUCACUGAUUUCUGCAAUACAUGCUUUGAAUAAUGACACAAUA